GGCCAGUUGGUGUAAUGGUCAGCACGUCGGAUUCUGACGCUGAGACUUCCGGAGAUGCUGGUUCGAUUCCUGCACAGGCCU
Non-coding RNA from Blumeria graminis, 81 nucleotides. NCBI's taxonomy places the organism in Eukaryota, Fungi, Ascomycota, Leotiomycetes, Helotiales, Erysiphaceae. The record is from Rfam.